GUGGGGAAUAUUGGGCAAUGGGGGCAACCCUGACCCAGCAACGCCGCGUGAGGGAAGAAGGUUUUCGGAUUGUAAACCUCUGUCCUAUGGGAAGAAGGAAGUGACGGUACCAUAGGAGGAAGCCCCGGCUAACUACGUGCCAGCAGCCGCGGUAAUACGUAGGGGGCGAGCGUUGUCCGGAAUUACUGGGCGUAAAGGGUGCGCAGGUGGCCUGACAAGUCAGAUGUGAAAUACCGAUGCUUAACGUCGGGGCUGCAUUUGAAACUAUGAGGCUGGAGUGCAGGAGAGGGAAGCGGAAUUCCUAGUGUAGCGGUGAAAUGCAUAGAUAUUAGGAGGAACACCAGUGGCGAAGGCGGCUUGCUGGACAGUAACUGACGUUGAGGCUCGAAAGCGUGGGGAGCAAACAGGAUUAGAUACCCCAGUAGUCC
Molecule: ribosomal RNA, 428 nt
Filed under: uncultured bacterium
Lineage: Bacteria
Description: partial 16S ribosomal RNA
Rfam family: Bacterial small subunit ribosomal RNA
Source: RNAcentral